GAUGAACGCUGGCGGCGUGCCUAAUACAUGCAAGUCGAGCGAACGGACGAGAAGCUUGCUUCUCUGAUGUUAGCGGCGGACGGGUGAGUAACACGUGGAUAACCUACCCAUAAGACUGGGAUAACUUCGGGAAACCGUAGCUAAUACCGGUUAAUAUUUUGAACCGCAUGGUUCAAAAGUGAAAGACGGUCUUGCUGUCACUUAUAGAUGGAUCCGCGCUGCAUUAGCUAGUUGGUAAGGUAACGGCUUACCAAGGCAACGAUGCAUAGCCGACCUGAGAGGGUGAUCGGCCACACUGGAACUGAGACACGGUCCAGACUCCUACGGGAGGCAGCAGUAGGGAAUCUUCCGCAAUGGGCGAAAGCCUGACGGAGCAACGCCGCGUGAGUGAUGAAGGUCUUCGGAUCGUAAAACUCUGUUAUUAGGGAAGAACAUAUGUGUAAGUAACUGUGCACAUCUUGACGGUACCUAAUCAGAAAGCCACGGCUAACUACGUG
RNAcentral lists this ribosomal RNA (497 nucleotides) under uncultured bacterium. Its description in RNAcentral is "partial 16S ribosomal RNA". It matches the Rfam family "Bacterial small subunit ribosomal RNA", at positions 28 to 507 of the family's 1533-position model. The record is from RNAcentral.